This 480-nucleotide ribosomal RNA is filed under the name uncultured bacterium. RNAcentral describes it as "partial 16S ribosomal RNA". It matches the Rfam family "Bacterial small subunit ribosomal RNA", at positions 28 to 507 of the family's 1533-position model. The record is from RNAcentral.
GACGAACGCUGGCGGCGUGCUUAACACAUGCAAGUCGAACGAUGAAGAAAAGAAUCGAAGCUUCGGCAGAAAUUCAUUUCGGAUUAGUGGCAGACGGGUGAGUAACGCGUGAGCAACCUACCUCUUACAAAGGGAUAGCCUCGGGAAACCGGGAUUAAUACCAUAUAACAUUGCGACGAAGCAUUUCGAUGCAAUCAAAGCUACGGCGGUAAGAGAUGGGCUCGCGUCCCAUUGACCGGAUGGUGAGGUAACGGCUCACCAUAGUGACGAUGGGUAACCGGCCUGAGAGGGUGAACGGUCACACUGGAACUGAGACACGGUCCAGACUCCUACGGGAGGCAGCAGUGGGGAAUAUUGCACAAUGGAGGGAACUCUGAUGCAGCGACGCCGCGUGAGUGAUGAAGGAAUUCGUUUCGUAAAACUCUGUUCUAUGGGAAGAAAAGGACUGUACCAUAGGAGAAAGCUCCGGCUAAAUACGUG